RNAcentral lists this ribosomal RNA (253 nucleotides) under uncultured bacterium. RNAcentral describes it as "partial 16S ribosomal RNA". It matches the Rfam family "Bacterial small subunit ribosomal RNA", at positions 524 to 776 of the family's 1533-position model. The record is from RNAcentral.
UACGUAGGGCGCAAGCGUUAUCCGGAAUUAUUGGGCGUAAAGAGCUCGUAGGCGGUUUGUCGCGUCUGCCGUGAAAGUCCGGGGCUCAACUCCGGAUCUGCGGUGGGUACGGGCAGACUAGAGUGAUGUAGGGGAGACUGGAAUUCCUGGUGUAGCGGUGAAAUGCGCAGAUAUCAGGAGGAACACCGAUGGCGAAGGCGGCUUUCUGGACACUAACUGACGCUGAGACGCGAAAGCGUGGGGAGCAAACAGG